RNAcentral lists this non-coding RNA (24 nucleotides) under Mus musculus (house mouse). The record is from RNAcentral. Lineage: Eukaryota; Metazoa; Chordata; Mammalia; Rodentia; Muridae.
UGGAGAUGUUGGUACCAUGUGAUG